Molecule: ribosomal RNA, 467 nt
Filed under: uncultured bacterium
Lineage: Bacteria
Description: partial 16S ribosomal RNA
Rfam family: Bacterial small subunit ribosomal RNA
Source: RNAcentral
GACGAACGCUGGCGGUGUGCUUAACACAUGCAAGUCGAACGGAAAGGCCCUGCUUUUGUGGGGUGCUCGAGUGGCGAACGGGUGAGUAACACGUGAGUAACCUGCCCUUGACUUUGGGAUAACUUCAGGAAACUGGGGCUAAUAUCGGAUAGGAGAUGCUGCUGCAUGGUGGGGGUUGGAAAGUUUCGGCGGUUGGGGUUGGAUUCGCGGCUUAGCAGCUUGUUGGUGGGGUAGUGGCUUACCAAGGCUUUGACGGGUAGCCAGCCUGAGAGUGUGACAGGGUCCAUAGGGAUAGAGGUACCGCCCAUGCGCCUUCUUGAGGCAGGGGUGGAAGACUUAUCACGACAUGCGGAGGCCGGAUGCAAGAACGUCGCGUUCUGGAUCACUGCCUUCGGGUUAGAAACCGCUUUCGCCUGUGACGAAGCGUGAGUACCGGUAAUAAAGAAAGAAGCACCGGCUAACUACUU